UAUUAGGUUGGUGCAAAAGUAAUCGCGGGUUUUGCCACCACUUUCAAUGUUACCAGCGAUUACUUUUGCACCAACGUAAUA
Molecule: microRNA precursor, 81 nt
Filed under: Cebus imitator (Panamanian white-faced capuchin)
Lineage: Eukaryota; Metazoa; Chordata; Mammalia; Primates; Cebidae
Description: miRNA (ENSCCAG00000014823.1)
Source: RNAcentral